GUUAGGAAUAUUGGACAAUGGGCGCAAGCCUGAUCCAGCCAUGCCGCGUGAGUGAUGAAGGCCUUCGGGUUGUAAAGCUCUUUAGUCCACGAAUAUAAUGACUGUAGUGGAAGAAUAAGCCCCGGCUAACUUCGUGCCAGCAGCCGCGGUAAUACGAAGGGGGCGAGCGUUAUUCGGAAUCACUGGGCGUAAAGCGUGCGUAGGCUGUUUUGUAAGUCAGAAGUGAAAGCCCAGGGCUUAACCCUGGAAUUGCUUUUGAAACUACAAGACUCGAAUUCGGGAGAGGAUAGCGGAAUUGUCAGUGUAGCAGGGAAAUGCGUAGAUAUUGACAGGAACACCAGUGGCGCAAGCGGCUAUCUGGACCGAUAUUGACGCUGAGGCACGAAAGCGUGGGGAGCAAACAGGAUUAGAAACCCUGGUAGUCC
Molecule: ribosomal RNA, 425 nt
Filed under: uncultured bacterium
Lineage: Bacteria
Description: partial 16S ribosomal RNA
Rfam family: Bacterial small subunit ribosomal RNA
Source: RNAcentral